This 72-nucleotide transfer RNA is filed under the name Chimaera monstrosa (rabbit fish). RNAcentral's name for it is "tRNA-Asp". The record is from RNAcentral. Lineage: Eukaryota; Metazoa; Chordata; Chondrichthyes; Chimaeriformes; Chimaeridae.
AAGGUACUAGUAAAAAUAUAUUACAAUAUCUUGUCAAGAUAUAAUCACGAGCUAAUAACCCCGUGUACUUUA